RNAcentral lists this ribosomal RNA (301 nucleotides) under uncultured bacterium. RNAcentral describes it as "partial 16S ribosomal RNA". It matches the Rfam family "Bacterial small subunit ribosomal RNA", at positions 509 to 809 of the family's 1533-position model. The record is from RNAcentral.
CAGCAGCCGCGGUAACACGAAGGGUGCAAGCGUUAAUCGGAAUUACUGGGCGUAAAGCGUGCGUAGGCGGUGAGUUAAGUCUGCUGUGAAAUCCCCGGGCUCAACCUGGGAAUGGCAGUGGAUACUGGCUCGCUAGAGUGUGUCAGAGGAUGGUGGAAUUCCCGGUGUAGCGGUGAAAUGCGUAGAGAUCGGGAGGAACAUCAGUGGCGAAGGCGGCCAUCUGGGACAACACUGACGCUGAGGCACGAAAGCGUGGGGAGCAAACAGGAUUAGAUACCCCGGUAGUCCCUGUCUCUUAUAU